GAAAUGGCUGAGGAACAAAGAUCUCGCUCGAAAGAGACUCUUCACCUAUACAAUUGGAAUAACUAACUUACCCUUACUUAUCUCGUUACUCAGAGAAGUCCCUCUCGGAGCUAUUCCCCGGUGCUGUGUCCUCUUUCUCCUUACUCUGGGAAUGAAGCUGUAAGCCGAACAGAAUUCGGACUUGAUUGCUUAUUUCAUUCCAUCUACAAGAGCAAUACUUAAUAGGCUAAAGCAGGAACAAGGGGCGCAAGCAGUCUUUAGAAGUCUAAACUAAGGAAGACUUAUGAACCACUUAGGAAGGAUAAGAGCCAUAGCUACAAAGCAAAAGAAGUUGUCGGAGGCGAUGCUACUCACCUCAGUCUCUCUGGCGGCAUUAGUUACCAGAUUCAUUCAGUGACAG
This 400-nucleotide long non-coding RNA is filed under the name Nicotiana benthamiana. Its description in RNAcentral is "long non-coding RNA (NBEN_LNC031232)". Lineage: Eukaryota; Viridiplantae; Streptophyta; Magnoliopsida; Solanales; Solanaceae. The record is from RNAcentral.